UAGUCCACGCCGUAAACGAUGAAUACUAGGUGUAGGGGGUAUCGACCCCCUCUGUGCCGCAGCUAACGCAAUAAGUAUUCCGCCUGGGGAGUACGACCGCAAGGUUGAAACUCAAAGGAAUUGACGGGUCCCCGCACAAGCAGCGGAGCAUGUUGUUUAAUUCGAAGCAACGCGAAGAACCUUACCAGGGCUUGACAUCCACAGAAUCUUCUAGAGAUAGAGGAGUGCCUUCGGGAACUGUGAGACAGGUGGUGCAUGGUUGUCGUCAGCUCGUGUCGUGAGAUGUUGGGUUAAGUCCCGCAACGAGCGCAACCCCUAUGUUUAGUUGCCAGCAUUAAGUUGGGGACUCUAGACAGACUGCCGGUGAUAAACCGGAGGAAGGUGGGGACGACGGUCAAAUCAUCAUGCUCCUUAUGUCCUGGGGCUACAAACGUGCUACAAUGGGCCAUUACAGAGGGGCAGGCCACGUCGCAAGGGCGGGAGCGAAACCCGAAAGGGU
RNAcentral lists this ribosomal RNA (499 nucleotides) under uncultured bacterium. RNAcentral's name for it is "bacterial SSU rRNA". It matches the Rfam family "Bacterial small subunit ribosomal RNA", at positions 791 to 1283 of the family's 1533-position model. The record is from RNAcentral.